This 150-nucleotide small nuclear RNA is filed under the name Octodon degus (degu). RNAcentral describes it as "U1 spliceosomal RNA (ENSODEG00000020960.1)". It matches the Rfam family "U1 spliceosomal RNA". From Rfam's summary of the family: U1 is a small nuclear RNA (snRNA) component of the spliceosome (involved in pre-mRNA splicing). Its 5' end forms complementary base pairs with the 5' splice junction, thus defining the 5' donor site of an intron. Lineage: Eukaryota; Metazoa; Chordata; Mammalia; Rodentia; Octodontidae. The record is from RNAcentral.
AUUCUUGUACAGAAACAUCACAAAGGUCAUUUUUCCAGGGCAAAGCUUAUCCACUGCAUUUUGGAUGUGCUGAGCCCUGUGAUUUACCCAAAUUUUGCAAACUUGACUGCACAAUUUGUGGUACUGGGGGAGUGCAUUUGCUCUUUCAAC